UAGCAGUGAUGAAUCCAAAAUUUGUGACCGGAGGCGCUUGUCGUCAGUGACGGUGCACAACCCUCUAAGAAGUUCUGAGCUC
Salvia miltiorrhiza (redroot sage) is the source of this 82-nucleotide small nucleolar RNA. RefSeq annotates it as small nucleolar RNA U61. NCBI's taxonomy places the organism in Eukaryota, Viridiplantae, Streptophyta, Magnoliopsida, Lamiales, Lamiaceae. The record is from RefSeq and is a predicted model, not a curated record. The transcript has a single exon.